RNAcentral lists this long non-coding RNA (247 nucleotides) under Anas platyrhynchos platyrhynchos (common mallard). RNAcentral's name for it is "lncRNA (ENSAPLG00000024572.1)". Lineage: Eukaryota; Metazoa; Chordata; Aves; Anseriformes; Anatidae. The record is from RNAcentral.
CUCCUGCAGCUGGGUUACUCGAGAAUGGUGAUAGCCUGUCCUUGUAUGAAUGAGGUGUCUGCACCUAGAUGUGAGCUGAAGAGUCCCUGAAGUCCCCCUGGAGAGCUCCUCCUUGUCUCCUGCCCUUAGCUUGCAGAUAUACUGGCAUGGAAAAGGACUUGCAAAACAUCUGGUAGCCUCUAAAAAGCAGCUAAAAUCGAGAGGUCUUUUCCUAUUUUCCUCCUGCAGAGGUGUUUGCUGGCUGAUG